Molecule: ribosomal RNA, 424 nt
Filed under: uncultured bacterium
Lineage: Bacteria
Description: partial 16S ribosomal RNA
Rfam family: Bacterial small subunit ribosomal RNA
Source: RNAcentral
AAUUUUGGACAAUGGGCGAAAGCCUGAUCCAGCCAUGCCGCGUGAAUGAAGAAGGCCUUCGGGUUGUAAAGUUCUUUUAGUUGGAAAGAAAAAAUUAUGCUGAAUAAUCAUAAUUCAUGACGGUACCGACAGAAAAAGCACCGGCUAACUACGUGCCAGCAGCCGCGGUAAUACGUAGGGUGCAAGCGUUAAUCGGAAUUACUGGGCGUAAAGGGUGUGCAGGCGGCCUUGUAAGUCAGAUGUGAAAGCCCCGGGCUUAACCUGGGAAUUGCGUUUGAAACUACAGGGCUAGAGUGCAGCAGAGGGGAGUGGAAUUCCAUGUGUAGCAGUGAAAUGCGUAGAGAUAUGGAAGAACACCGAUGGCGAAGGCAGCUCCCUGGGCUGACACUGACGCUCAUACACGAAAGCGUGGGGAGCAAACAGG